This 2923-nucleotide ribosomal RNA is filed under the name Klebsiella pneumoniae. Its description in RNAcentral is "bacterial LSU rRNA". It matches the Rfam family "Bacterial large subunit ribosomal RNA". Lineage: Bacteria; Pseudomonadati; Pseudomonadota; Gammaproteobacteria; Enterobacterales; Enterobacteriaceae. The record is from RNAcentral.
GGGUUGUGAGGUUAAGCGACUAAGCGUACACGGUGGAUGCCCUGGCAGUCAGAGGCGAUGAAGGACGUGCUAAUCUGCGAAAAGCGUCGGUAAGGUGAUAUGAACCGUUAUAACCGGCGAUGUCCGAAUGGGGAAACCCAGUGCAAUUCGUUGCACUAUCGUUAACUGAAUACAUAGGUUAACGAGGCGAACCGGGGGAACUGAAACAUCUAAGUACCCCGAGGAAAAGAAAUCAACCGAGAUUCCCCCAGUAGCGGCGAGCGAACGGGGAGCAGCCCAGAGUCUGAAUCAGCUUGUGUGUUAGUGGAACGGUCUGGAAAGUCCGACGGUACAGGGUGAUAGUCCCGUACACCAAAAUGCACAGGCUGUGAACUCGAAGAGUAGGGCGGGACACGUGGUAUCCUGUCUGAAUAUGGGGGGACCAUCCUCCAAGGCUAAAUACUCCUGACUGACCGAUAGUGAACCAGUACCGUGAGGGAAAGGCGAAAAGAACCCCGGCGAGGGGAGUGAAAAAGAACCUGAAACCGUGUACGUACAAGCAGUGGGAGCACCUUCGGGUGUGACUGCGUACCUUUUGUAUAAUGGGUCAGCGACUUAUAUUCUGUAGCAAGGUUAACCGUAUAGGGGAGCCGCAGGGAAACCGAGUCUUAACUGGGCGUUAAGUUGCAGGGUAUAGACCCGAAACCCGGUGAUCUAGCCAUGGGCAGGUUGAAGGUUGGGUAACACUAACUGGAGGACCGAACCGACUAAUGUUGAAAAAUUAGCGGAUGACUUGUGGCUGGGGGUGAAAGGCCAAUCAAACCGGGAGAUAGCUGGUUCUCCCCGAAAGCUAUUUAGGUAGCGCCUCGUGAACUCAUCUUCGGGGGUAGAGCACUGUUUCGGCUAGGGGGUCAUCCCGACUUACCAACCCGAUGCAAACUACGAAUACCGAAGAAUGUUAUCACGGGAGACACACGGCGGGUGCUAACGUCCGUCGUGAAGAGGGAAACAACCCAGACCGCCAGCUAAGGUCCCAAAGUCAUGGUUAAGUGGGAAACGAUGUGGGAAGGCACAGACAGCCAGGAUGUUGGCUUAGAAGCAGCCAUCAUUUAAAGAAAGCGUAAUAGCUCACUGGUCGAGUCGGCCUGCGCGGAAGAUGUAACGGGGCUAAACCAUGCACCGAAGCUGCGGCAGCGACACUAUGUGUUGUUGGGUAGGGGAGCGUUCUGUAAGCCUGCGAAGGUGUGCUGUGAGGCAUGCUGGAGGUAUCAGAAGUGCGAAUGCUGACAUAAGUAACGAUAAAGCGGGUGAAAAGCCCGCUCGCCGGAAGACCAAGGGUUCCUGUCCAACGUUAAUCGGGGCAGGGUGAGUCGACCCCUAAGGCGAGGCCGAAAGGCGUAGUCGAUGGGAAACAGGUUAAUAUUCCUGUACUUGGUGUUACUGCGAAGGGGGGACGGAGAAGGCUAUGUUAGCCGGGCGACGGUUGUCCCGGUUUAAGCAUGUAGGCUGAUUGUCCAGGCAAAUCCGGAUAAUCAAGGCUGAGGUGUGAUGACGAGGCACUACGGUGCUGAAGUAACAAAUGCCCUGCUUCCAGGAAAAGCCUCUAAGCAUCAGGUAACAUUAAAUCGUACCCCAAACCGACACAGGUGGUCAGGUAGAGAAUACCAAGGCGCUUGAGAGAACUCGGGUGAAGGAACUAGGCAAAAUGGUGCCGUAACUUCGGGAGAAGGCACGCUGGUGUGUAGGUGAAGUCCCUGCGGAUGGAGCUGAGACCAGUCGAAGAUACCAGCUGGCUGCAACUGUUUAUUAAAAACACAGCACUGUGCAAACACGAAAGUGGACGUAUACGGUGUGACGCCUGCCCGGUGCCGGAAGGUUAAUUGAUGGGGUUAUCCGUAAGGAGAAGCUCUUGAUCGAAGCCCCGGUAAACGGCGGCCGUAACUAUAACGGUCCUAAGGUAGCGAAAUUCCUUGUCGGGUAAGUUCCGACCUGCACGAAUGGCGUAAUGAUGGCCAGGCUGUCUCCACCCGAGACUCAGUGAAAUUGAACUCGCUGUGAAGAUGCAGUGUACCCGCGGCAAGACGGAAAGACCCCGUGAACCUUUACUAUAGCUUGACACUGAACAUUGAGCCUUGAUGUGUAGGAUAGGUGGGAGGCUUUGAAGCGUGGACGCCAGUCUGCGUGGAGCCAACCUUGAAAUACCACCCUUUAAUGUUUGAUGUUCUAACGUUGGCCCCUUACCGGGGUUGCGGACAGUGUCUGGUGGGUAGUUUGACUGGGGCGGUCUCCUCCCAAAGCGUAACGGAGGAGCACGAAGGUUAGCUAAUCCUGGUCGGACAUCAGGAGGUUAGUGCAAUGGCAUAAGCUAGCUUGACUGCGAGCGUGACGGCGCGAGCAGGUGCGAAAGCAGGUCAUAGUGAUCCGGUGGUUCUGAAUGGAAGGGCCAUCGCUCAACGGAUAAAAGGUACUCCGGGGAUAACAGGCUGAUACCGCCCAAGAGUUCAUAUCGACGGCGGUGUUUGGCACCUCGAUGUCGGCUCAUCACAUCCUGGGGCUGAAGUAGGUCCCAAGGGUAUGGCUGUUCGCCAUUUAAAGUGGUACGCGAGCUGGGUUUAGAACGUCGUGAGACAGUUCGGUCCCUAUCUGCCGUGGGCGCUGGAGAAUUGAGGGGGGCUGCUCCUAGUACGAGAGGACCGGAGUGGACGCAUCACUGGUGUUCGGGUUGUCAUGCCAAUGGCACUGCCCGGUAGCUAAAUGCGGAAGAGAUAAGUGCUGAAAGCAUCUAAGCACGAAACUUGCCCCGAGAUGAGUUCUCCCUGAGACUUUAAGUCUCCUGAAGGAACGUUAAAGACGAUGACGUUGAUAGGCCGGGUGUGUAAGCGCAGCGAUGCGUUGAGCUAACCGGUACUAAUGAACCGUGAGGCUUAACCUUACAACGCCGAAG